Molecule: ribosomal RNA, 460 nt
Filed under: uncultured bacterium
Lineage: Bacteria
Description: partial 16S ribosomal RNA
Rfam family: Bacterial small subunit ribosomal RNA
Source: RNAcentral
CCUACGGGAGGCAGCAGUGAGGAAUAUUGGUCAAUGGCCGGAAGGCUGAACCAGCCAAGCCGCGUGAAGGAAGAAGGAACUAUGGUUUGUAAACUUCUUUUAUCGGGGAAUAAAGGUAUCCACGUGUGGAUGUUUGCAUGUACCCUAUGAAUAAGCAUCGGCUAACUCCGUGCCAGCAGCCGCGGUAAUACGGAGGAUGCGAGCGUUAUCCGGAUUUAUUGGGUUUAAAGGGUGCGUAGGUGGUUUUUUAAGUCAGCGGUUAAAGUUGGUGGCUCAACCAUAAAAUUGCCGUUGAAACUGGAAGACUUGAGUGUGUUUGAGGUAGGCGGAAUGCGUGGUGUAGCGGUGAAAUGCAUAGAUAUCACGCAGAACUCCGAUUGCGAAGGCAGCUUACCAAGCCAUAACUGACACUGAAGCACGAAAGCGUGGGGAUCAAACAGGAUUAGAUACCCGAGUAGUC